Molecule: long non-coding RNA, 1654 nt
Organism: Pogona vitticeps (central bearded dragon)
Lineage: Eukaryota; Metazoa; Chordata; Lepidosauria; Squamata; Agamidae
Source: Ensembl
AAGUUUCAUUAACCUUACCCAUCAUGUAAGAAUGGGAUGGGCGAAAACGCACCCGCAUCCAACGGCCAAUCUAGGAUGCAGGCCAAAAAUUCCCAUCAGGCUCCAAGAGGCAACCAGCUAAUUUCAUUCUGACUUAAGGGUGGGUGGGAGGGAUUGCUUAAAAAAUGGCAAAGAGGCUGAGCCGGAGGAACCGUGCCUUAUUAAAGGCUCCAUCCCUCUUCUCCUCGGAAAGUGGCGUCAUUCAACCGGGAUGCCGCUCUCUGGGCAGGAGAGCAAACCUCCCCGCCAUAGUGACUCAGCACCAUGGCGGAGCAAUCAUGUAUUUAUUUGAGUCAUACACUUCCCCUUUAGUGGAAACACUACUCCAGGCAGUUUAGAAAUUAAAAUUCAGAAACCCACCCCACAUAACACUACAAUCAAUAUGGUGGUUCACCUAUUUAUAUCUAAUAUUUGUAUAAAAAAGAAAAAGGAAGCACAAGAAAAGUAAAGCAAAUUUAAUACCACCAGCAGCCAGGGAAAUGAAGUUAUUAGAGACAGUACAGUAUUGUAUAUUUCUAUCUUCACUCAUUUCCUGAAUAUCUAAGUGACCAGCCUAAGGAUGAUGAAGCCAAAUCCAGAUAGAUGAACCCCAUGGUUACAGGUCUCUAUGAACAGGCAGGGUUAUGAAGCUUCUGCAGGGAUCCUCUCUAGAUUUCAGUCUACCUGUGCCUAUGCUAAUGGUGCAAGAGUCAGUGUGAGAAACAUUUUCUUCUCUAAAUCUUCAUGUCUCCUCCUCUCCCUAGGUGUAUCGGUGACAUAUGCAAAUGUGAAUCAUCAACACAAUUACAAAUGGUUACCUGGAUCAUACCUGUGAUUGGGCUCAUUGGGGGAGUCAUUGGAUGUUGUGUCUUUGUAAGAGUUUUAAUUUGGUGCUGUCGUGCUUGCAAGGGAGGGGAAGAGACCAGACUCCCAGAAGAACCAAGAAGGGAUGUUCCCAGGCCACCUCCUGUUAACCAAACUGUGCCAUCUGCUCCAUCACUGAACCAGUUCAUGGAACCUCCUCCAUAUACAGAGGUUGGAUGGAAGCUUCCUUUAUACCCUCCUCCUAUGGACGAGCCACCUGCCUAUGAUAAUAUUGCCAUGGAAGGUCUUCCCCCUCUAGAUGUUUCCCGGCCCCCUGGAUUUAUGCCUGAAGACAGAACCUCAAGAACUUAACAUACAUGUUGCUAUUACCCAGAAAGACUGAGAAUAACAGGAAAAUUGUGUUGAUGAGUACAAGCUGGAUUUCGAAGGGGCAGAGGAACUAGAGACCAAAUCGCUAACAUGCGCUGGAUUAUGGAGAAAGCCAGAGAGUUCCAGAAAAACAUCUACUUCUGCUUCAUUGACUACACAAAGGCCUUUGACUGUGUGGACCACAGCAAACUAUGGCAUGUCCUUAAAGAAAUGGGAGUGCCUGACCACCUUAUCUAUCUCCUGAGAAACCUAUACGUGGGACAGGAAGCAACAGUUAGAACUGGAUAUGGAACAACUGAUUGGUUCAAAAUUGGCAAAGGAGCAUGACAAGACUGUAUAUUGUCUCCCAGUUUAUUUAACUUAUAUGCAGAAUACAUCAUGUGAAAGGCAGGACUGGAUGAAUUCCAAGCCGGAAUUAAGAUUGCCAGAAGAAAUAUCAACA